RNAcentral lists this long non-coding RNA (738 nucleotides) under Lotus japonicus. RNAcentral describes it as "long non-coding RNA (LJAP_LNC000153)". Lineage: Eukaryota; Viridiplantae; Streptophyta; Magnoliopsida; Fabales; Fabaceae. The record is from RNAcentral.
UAUUAUCAUAUAUGUGAAGUAGAUUGAUUAUAUUAAAUUACAUAAUUUAUUAUUUGUUAGUGAAGUGUGAGGAAUUUAGGUGGAACACAUAUAAGCUUUUACAUUAUUUAUUAUUAUGCUUAUUCAUAUGAUAUGAGUUCUCACCCUUGUGUUGGAAUGAUGUUCUAUGCGACAUCGCUCAGGUGGGAAACGCUUAGUAUUGUACCUUCAUGUUAAGAGUUAUUUUAUGAACUCUCUUUAUUUAUUUUUGGAUUAUGUUUUAUUUUGAAGCUGAACAAAUCUGAUGUUCUAUGCAUAUGAUGUUAUGACAUUAAAGUUGGAAAUUUAUAUAUUUAUUAUGAGCAUGACAGGUAUUUGAUUUAUGUUUUUGGAGAAUAAGUGUGACACCCUCUGUGUUAUGCAUUUUACUCUGAUUUAUGCUAUAAUAAUUGCGCAGGGUUUAGAGGGCGUUACACAUAUGUUGUUGCUGCUGAAGUAUAUAAAAGGAUGAAGACCUAAAACAUGAAGACCACCGAAGCUAAUUGAGAGAGAUCAAGGGUUUUAGGAUUGUUCAUUGUUCUUUGUCCUUGUUUACUUGUGAACAAACUUUGCUCACUGAUUCUAUAAAGCAAAGUUGUGUUCUGUGUUCUUUAAUUCUAAAAACUCUGAUUGUUUAUUGUUUGUUACCAAUCACUGUGGCAGUGAUUGAGAGAAAGUGAGAGGGGCUCUCAUACUUAGGCUGAGAUACUAAGUAGAAAU